RNAcentral lists this ribosomal RNA (377 nucleotides) under uncultured eukaryote. Its description in RNAcentral is "partial 18S ribosomal RNA". It matches the Rfam family "Eukaryotic small subunit ribosomal RNA", at positions 592 to 976 of the family's 1831-position model. The record is from RNAcentral.
CCAUAGCGUAUAUUUAAGUUGCUGCAGUUAAAAAGCUCGUAGUUGGAUUUCGGGUGGGAAUGGCCGGUCCGCCGUUUCGGUGUGCACUUGCUACGCCCACCUUGCUGCCGGGGACGUGCUCUUGAGUUCACGCUCGGGACACGGAGUCGGCGAGGUUACUUUGAGUAAAUUAGAGUGUUCAAAGCAGGCCUACGCUCUGAAUACAUUAGCAUGGAAUAACACGAUAGGACUCUGGCCUAUCUUGUUGGUCUGUAGGACCGGAGUAAUGAUUAAGAGGGACAGUCGGGGGCAUUCGUAUUUCAUUGUCAGAGGUGAAAUUCUUGGAUUUAUGAAAGACGAACUACUGCGAAAGCAUUUGCCAAGGAUGUUUUCAUUAA